Molecule: long non-coding RNA, 595 nt
Organism: Helianthus annuus (common sunflower)
Lineage: Eukaryota; Viridiplantae; Streptophyta; Magnoliopsida; Asterales; Asteraceae
Exons: 5
Source: RefSeq, a predicted model, not a curated record
UAAAGAUGAGAAGAGUUUUUGCUUAUAAUAGAAUCAUUAAUAUGGUUGUGGUUGUGGCGAUCAAUGGCGGUAUGAUAACCCCUGUGCUCUAGGCUGCUGACAAGUUGGAUCUUUAUCUGCUAUCUUAGAAGUGGAAGGAGCUUGUGGAGAAAGCACGAUCUAAGAAACUAUAGCCCACGAGUACAACUCGGAACAUGGAUCUUGCUGAACGGUUGUUGACAAGAAAGUCUACUUACAAUCUUGAUAUGCUUAUUCGAUAGAGGGUCUGGCAUUAGAUAUCCAAAGUUCUUUGAUGCAUUAAGAGAUUUGGAUGACCGUCUCACAAUGGUGCACCUGUUUGCUGUCUUACCUGCCAUUGAAUGAGAAAAUAUCCAAGCAGAAAGAAUCCACAACUAUAGAGGGGAUGGUCGGAUGGAAUCUCCGGUAGUAAGGCCACUCGGUGUGGGUUCGGCUUGGCCCAUCCUGGACCGUCGCCGGGCCUCAACGCCAUCCCGGGUGGUCCAUCGUCGUCCAAUUCGUCUAGGUUGGGACGCUGGAGACGGUCACAAAAGGACAAAAAAUUCAUCCGUUUGACAACAACGGCUAUUAUUUAAAA